UCAUGAUCCACCCGCCUCGGCCUCCUAGAGUGCUGGGAUUACAGGCGUGAGCCACCAGCCCGGCCCUGAUGAAAUUUUUUACUGCUGUGCACCUAACUCCAUUUUCCCAAUAGGUCCUGUUAUUUUUACUAUAAUUCUGCAAAACAUGAUUUUUAGGGACAUAUGUGUUGUAUUAAAGCAGAGUUGAUGAAAAAGAGCGCCUUUUGUCCCUCCACUUACCAUAUGCUGACUGCUGACAGUCUCUCAAAAUUCCAUGCUAGCUUUCCUGAUUCUACACAUCUGUAACAAAAUAUUAUUUGAGGCACAGAAACUUUAAAAAUUGAAAACAACCAUCAAAAAUACAUCAAGCCCUUGCUGUGCCAGGCACAAUACUAAGCCUUAGUAAGCCAUUUAUUUGACUUUUCCUAACAACUCUCUAUGCAGAAGCUAUUGUUAUACUCACUUUAUAGAUGAGAAAACUAAUGCAAAGAAAGGUAAAAUUGCCCAGCGCCACACAGCUAAUACGUGGUGAAGAAGGCAUGUGAACACCAGGAAUCAUUUUAUAGCACAUUUUCUACUGAAUCUGAUGAACUUGCAAGUGCCUGAUUGCAUGCUGCUCACUAGGGGUGUUGCCUGAGAGGUCUGGAUGGGCUGAGCUUGAGAAAGGAUCAACAUGCCUUUGGCUAGAGACUUACUGCAUCCAUCCUUGGAAAAGGAAAAGAAAUGGCCGUGAAAAGUUCAAAUUCUUACUUUGUGGAUAUAACAUGUCCUAGUUGCCACAAGAUUAUGAUGUUUUUCAGCUAUGUCCAUGAAAUCAUCUUUGCAAAAAUAACAAUGAAUAAACAAUGACAGUGAAAGGGAUCUAUCUGAUCUAACCAACUCCCAUCUUGCCUUGAAGCUCCAGUCUGCUUUAGUCAUUCCUGGGUUUGGGCCAAGCUAACUUUGGGAGAAAUUUAUAGUUUAAAUGUUAACAGCCCCUCCCCAAAACUAAACCACCUUUGUAAAGCAAAUGAAAGACCACCAGGUUAGGUGGAUGACAGGAGCAUGAACUCUGCUAAGGUGUAGACCUAAACAAUUACUAGCCAUUUUUCUGGAGGUCACAAGAUUUGCAACUUCCCCCAAUUACUCCUGCAGAUAACAUUACUAUUGUAGAACUUAAGAUUGGUCUUUUGAGAUGUCUUUUCUGACUUUUAUAUUUCUGACUACCAUGGCUCCACUUGGACCUGCCAACCAGUCCUGUGGCCCCACCAAGAAGCAAACUCUGCACACUUCUAUGAUUGCACCCCCAACCAAUCAGCAGUACCCAUUCCCUUGCCUGCCAAACCAUCCUUGAAAAAACCUAGCCUCCAAAUUUUCAGGGAUGCCUAUUUGAGUAAGACUCCAGUAUCCUGUUCAGCUGGCUCUGUGUGAAUUAAACUCUUUCUCUGUUGCAAUGCUUCUGUCUUGAUAAAUUGGUUCUAUAUAGGCAGUGGGCAAAAUGAACCAAUUUGGCAGUUACACUCAGACAGUGGAUCUUUGUGUAGGUUAUUCAACAGUGUUGUGCCGGCCUACAGGACAAAACACUAAGCUCACAGAAGAGUGUUCACUUAGAAGAAAGCAACACUAAUGAUCCACACAACAUCCUGAAUUUGUGUUAUGUCCCAGAAAGCCUUAUCAUAAAUUCAGUAAUUCUGGUUAAUCUACCAAGAUAAGUGUGUUUGAUUUUGUAAGGUAUAUGGCAGUGAUCUCCUAUUUUGGUGUUUUUCAAUAAAGUUUUGGUUACGGACAAAUCAAAAAUUGAUGAAAUUUUAUUUUCCUUUAAUAUCAGCUUAAAUGGUUCUUACAACUGUAAAGCUUUUCCUGACUCUGUAGGGAGGCAGUCACAACUCUGCUCUCAGAACUGAACUUUCUUUUAUUCAUUCGGCAAAUGUUUAUUGAGUACUUAUUAGGAUUGCUAUGCUAGGUGCUGGGAUUCUAACAUGGAAGGUGACUUGGCCAUUGUCCUCAGAAACUAACAAACUACUGGAGGAAACAAGCCAAUGGGCCACUUAGGGCAGUUGAAUAAGUGCUCAAUAAAAGUUUUGGAGGGCUCUGAGGCAGGGAAGAGGGGGAGAAGCAUGUUUAGCCUGCGGAAUAGGAGGUCAGAGAGGAUGCUUGAGCUAAGUAUUGAAGAGUGAACAGUACAGAUAGAGGGAACAGAACAUACAAGGUCAGAGGUGUGGAACCAUGUGACCUUUAGGGAAAUUACAAAUGGCUCUGUAUGAACAAAGUGAAGGGUGUGGGAGACCAGUGGGAGGGGUAGAGAGGAGCCAGGUUAAAAGGGUCUCAGAUUCAAGGAGUUUUGAAUUUACCCUGAAGGCUUAGUGAUGUGCUUGGUCAAGCACAACUGUGACCCAGAGUGUUCCCUCUCUCUCUUGUCAUAGCAUUGUGUGUAUCCCUCUAUUAAAGCAUUUAUUACAAAUGCCUUAACUGCAUAUCCUUCUGUCAUAGCAUUUAUCACAAUUCUAAUUUCCAUAUGGAGUAUUGCUGAAGAGAAAGCAAAAUGGAGAUGAGACCAGGUUGCAGUAAUCCAAGCAAGAAGUGACUGAGAGGAAGGCAUGGUCCUACAGAAACAGCUCUUCUGGCACGAUGGUGACCUGCCAUGGAAAAUGCUGGGUCCCAACGCCCAAGUGACUGUAGCUGUGGUUCAGCCAGGACCUGAGCAUUUUUAGAUCACCUGUUGUCAGACAUGCAACACUGUCAACAUAGUUCCUGUGGGUCAGCAGCCUGGACACAGCUUACCUGGGGUCCACUGCUCGGGAGGAUCUCACAAGGCUUCAAUCAAGAUGUCAGCCCAGGCUGUGGUCUCCACUGAGGCUCCAAGGGAAAGACCCUGCUUCCAAGCUCACCUAAGUUGUUUGCAAAAUUUGGUUCUUCGCAGCUGUAGAAUGGAGGGCUUCAGUUUAUUUCUAGCUAUGCGGUGGGGCGGGGUGAGGGAGCUGCCCUCAGAUCCUAGAGGUCACCCACAAUUCCUUGCCACUUGUCUAUGCUGCACAGAGGCGGCCCACGCAUUUCAGCUUGCUUUGCCAAAGCCAGCAACGAAAGACUCCAGCAAGACACAUUCUAUCAUCUUAUGUAUGCAAUCCUGUGCAGGCAAUCACGGACAUGUCCAUCACAUACGUAACCACGUCCACUCCAUCACCUUUGCUGUAUUCUUUUGGCCCACUCAAAGGGUGUGGACUAGUUAGGGCGUGAGAAUCAGCCCUCUUAAGUCAGCCUUCGCUAUUUCAUGUGCCAGCUUUCUAGAAUAUUGAUCCUUUUGGUAUUUUAAGUCAUAUCUGUUGUCAUUGGAAAUCCUCUUUGAAGUAGAAAGGACAGAGCUCACAAAAUAUAAACCGCACCACUAUUCCUGCCUGUCAUUUAGACGUUUGCCAGGGUAGCAGGUUGAUUUCAGUCUUUUCACGGAGUUUACUCUGAUAUGAUGAUAUCUUUACCCCCAUAAUUAAUUUUAUUUUUAUUUUUGAGACAUGGUCUCAUUCUGUUACUCAGGCUAUAGUGCAGUGGUGCGAUCUCGGCUCACUGCAAGCUCAACCAGCCCAGGUUCAAGAGAUCCUCCCACCUCAGCUUCCUGGGACCACCCCAGUGGGACCACUAGCGCAAACCACCAUGCCCAGCUAAUUUUUAAAAAUUCUUUGUAGAGAGGGGGUUUCACUAUGUUGUUCAAGUUGGUCUCAAAUUCCUGGGCUCAAGCGAUCCGCUUGCUUCGUACUCCUUUGGGAUUCCACAAAGUGCUGAGAUUACACGUGUGAGCCACCACGCCUGCCCCCUGCAUAAUUAAUUUUAAAUUAAUCUCCACAUUUCAUUCUCUUGGGCUAGAUUUCGGGGGAGGGGCCUAAUUUAGAUGGCGUGUGCCCCAUUGGGUGAAUCAAAUAAAAGCAUAGCUGCCCUGGGCCAGGCGUCGUGGCUCAUGCCUGUAAAUCCCAGCACUUUGGGAAGCCGAGGCGGGCAGAUCACGAGGUCAGGA
Cercocebus atys (sooty mangabey) is the source of this 3961-nucleotide long non-coding RNA. RefSeq lists it as uncharacterized. Lineage: Eukaryota; Metazoa; Chordata; Mammalia; Primates; Cercopithecidae. The record is from RefSeq and is a predicted model, not a curated record. The transcript has 3 exons.